GGCGGCCUGGACAGCGCCGAGUUGGCGGCUGAGCUGGGCAUGGAGCACCAGGCGGUGGUGGGCGCCGUGAAGAGCCUUCAGGCGCUGGGCGAGGUCAUCGAGGCUGAACUUCGGUCCACCAAGCGCUGGGAGCUUACUGCGGAGGGCGAGGAGAUUGCCCGGGAGGGCAGCCAUGAGGCCCGUGUGUUUCGAAGCAUUCCCCCAGAGGGCCUGGCCCAGAGCGAGCUUAUGGUAGGAGCUGCGGGGUGAAUAGGGAGUGAGUGAUGGGAUGAAGGUGGCCCUCGUGCCCCACUCACUGCAGCCUCUCUUUUCCAGCGACUGCCCAGUGGCAAAGUGGGCUUCAGCAAGGCCAUGUCCAACAAGUGGAUCCGGGUGGACAAGAGUGCAGCUGACGGGCCACGGGUGUUCCGAGUGGUGGACAGCAUGGAGGACGAGGUGCAGCGGCGGCUCCAGCUGGUCCGGGGGGGACAGGCUGAGAAGCUGGGGGAGAAGGAGAGGAGCGAGCUGAGGAAGAGGAAGCUGUUGGCUGAAGUGAUCCUGAAGACCUACUGGGUGAGCAAAGGCAGUGCCUUUAGUACCAGCAUCUCCAAGCAAGAGACAGAGCUGAGCCCAGAGAUGAUCUCCAGUGGCUCUUGGCGGGACCGGCCCUUCAAGCCCUACAACUUCUUGGCCCACGGUGUCCUACCCGACAGCGGCCACCUUCACCCACUGCUCAAGGUCCGCUCCCAGUUCCGACAGAUCUUCCUGGAGAUGGGGUGAGCACAGGGCUGGGGACGGGGCCUGGUGCUUCUGCUGGGUACAGGCAGGGCAGUCAGGCUGCGUCUCCCACCAGGUUCACCGAGAUGCCGACCGAUAACUUCAUUGAGAGCUCCUUCUGGAA
RNAcentral lists this small RNA (880 nucleotides) under Pongo abelii (Sumatran orangutan). RNAcentral describes it as "retained intron". The record is from RNAcentral. Lineage: Eukaryota; Metazoa; Chordata; Mammalia; Primates; Hominidae.